ACCAAGGGUCAACCUAUGAUUUUUAUGUUUUUGGUUAGGGUUUUAGGGUUUUUCUGCCACCUUGAAGAAAACCCUAGAUUUGUUAUCCUAAGUUCCUCAAGUUUCAGUUAGGGGUAUCAAUUGCAGUUACAAAUGGAGGGAUUAAGCGUAGCAGAUGCUGAUUUGGUGGUUUACUUACACCCAUCGAAGAGCAGUAAGGUUUCACAGGCGAUCCUCCGUGAGCUUAGCUCUUCACUCUUCAAGUUCAACGAAGCGUUUGGUGGUGUUUUAUUGGCCUACGAUGUUAAUAUUCUGGAUAAACAGGCAAAAAUUCUUUCUGGUGUUCAUCCUUAUUUUGGUGUUAGACUAAAGGCAAAUCUCCUACUUUUUUCACCAAAGUCAGAUAUGCUCUUAGAGGGGAAAGUAGUGAAGCUUUCUCAAGAAUCUAUUCAUGUCAUUAUUCUUGGUUUUUCGUCUGCAAUCAUAACAGCUGAAAACAUCCGCAGAGAAUUUAAAUAUAAAACUAAAGACAACGAGGAACUAUUUGCCAGCAGAUCUCACAAGCGGCAUGUCAUAAAGGUUGGAACCAUGAUCCGUUUUUUAGUCAAGAGUUUUGAUGAGGAAAUACUUCAUAUCAUUGGGUCUUUGAUGCCAGCUUGCACUGGAAGCAUCCGUUGGUUAGAUAGAAAUUCAGAGGAAAUUUCAGAAUUUGAUAGGAGUGCUACAAAGAGUACAGAUAGAGAAUGGCAGGAGGAUAAAACUGUUGAUGAGGGAGCAACUCCCUUAAGCUACAAUAAUCACAUUCAAAAGUUUAAAAAACGAAGAAUCAGUGAAGAUUAAUGAAGAUUGCUGCCAAUUACUAAUUGUUGAAGGAGAUUUCUUAUUCUCAGGUAGUGAAAAGAAUUGGAGCAGAAGGUCCAUAUAGAUGAAAGUAUACCUCUUCCGGGGCUGAUUAUUUUGGUAAUUAAAUGUGCUUUUCUGUUGAAGGUCGCUGACAUUCCGAGAUCUUCCCUUAGUCCUUUUCCAUGCUGGUUGUAUGUGCUCCAAAAUUGAAAAUUAAUGCAUUGUUUUUUCCCCGAUAAAUGGGUAAUUUUUGUUUCUUGGUGCUGUGCAUGGAGGAAAUUUUUUGUACUUUUUACAACUGAAGACUUGGUCUUGUCCAUACAUAUGUUAACAUUACUCUUUAUCAAAAAUAAAUGCUUUGUCCCCUUGUUUCAUUAUGGCUUCAUGUGUCAUGUUUUGUCCAAUUUUGAUUUAUGUCAAUGUUUACUGAUAAUAUCAGUUAUUCUCAUUUCCUGGAUUCGAUCAAUCUGUUUUCUGUUACAUGGAGACGGUGUGUAGGUGCUAUUGGAAACGUCAACCAAUUUGUAGUAAUAAGCAAGACAAUGUCUCAUAUUUAAUUUAUGGGAAUUCAAAUAUGGCGUACGUUGCUUUUAGUUUGACUAAAGGGUCAUGUAAUAAAUGAUCAAAUUUGAUGC
Durio zibethinus is the source of this 1457-nucleotide non-coding RNA. The record is from RefSeq and is a predicted model, not a curated record. NCBI's taxonomy places the organism in Eukaryota, Viridiplantae, Streptophyta, Magnoliopsida, Malvales, Malvaceae.